AUUGAACGCUGGCGGCAGGCCUAACACAUGCAAGUCGAACGGUAACAGGAAGCAGCUUGCUGCUUUGCUGACGAGUGGCGGACGGGUGAGUAAUGUCUGGGAAACUGCCCGAUGGAGGGGGAUAACUACUGGAAACGGUAGCUAAUACCGCAUAACGUCGCAAGACCAAAGAGGGGGACCUUAGGGCCUCUUGCCAUCGGAUGUGCCCAGAUGGGAUUAGCUAGUAGGUGGGGUAACGGCUCACCUAGGCGACGAUCCCUAGCUGGUCUGAGAGGAUGACCAGCCACACUGGAACUGAGACACGGUCCAGACUCCUACGGGAGGCAGCAGUGGGGAAUAUUGCACAAUGGGCGCAAGCCUGAUGCAGCCAUGCCGCGUGUAUGAAGAAGGCCUUCGGGUUGUAAAGUACUUUCAGCGGGGAGGAAGGGAGUAAAGUUAAUCCCUUUGCUCAUUGACGUUACCCGAAGAAGAAGCACCGGCUAACUCCGUG
This 490-nucleotide ribosomal RNA is filed under the name uncultured bacterium. RNAcentral describes it as "partial 16S ribosomal RNA". It matches the Rfam family "Bacterial small subunit ribosomal RNA", at positions 30 to 507 of the family's 1533-position model. The record is from RNAcentral.